Molecule: ribosomal RNA, 253 nt
Filed under: uncultured bacterium
Lineage: Bacteria
Also listed under: 1 other name
Description: partial 16S ribosomal RNA
Rfam family: Bacterial small subunit ribosomal RNA
Source: RNAcentral
UACAGAGGGUGCGAGCGUUGUCCGGAAUCACUGGGCGUAAAGGGCGCGUAGGCGGCCUGAUAAGUCGGGGGUGAAAUCCUGUGGCUCAACCACAGGGCUGCCUCCGGGACUGUCGGGCUCGAGCACAGUAGAGGCAGGUGGAAUUCCCGGUGUAGCGGUGGAAUGCGUAGAGAUCGGGAAGAACAUCGGUGGCGAAGGCGGCCUGCUGGGCUGUUGCUGACGCUGAGGCGCGACAGCGUGGGGAGCAAACAGG